UUAAGCGACUAAGCGUACACGGUGGAUGCCCUGGCAGUCAGAGGCGAUGAAGGACGUGCUAAUCUGCGAAAAGCGCCGGCGAGGUGAUAUGAACCCUUGACCCGGCGAUGUCCGAAUGGGGAAACCCAGUGCAAUCCGUUGCACUAUCGUUAACUGAAUACAUAGGUUAACGAGGCGAACCGGGGGAACUGAAACAUCUAAGUACCCCGAGGAAAAGAAAUCAACCGAGAUUCCCCCAGUAGCGGCGAGCGAACGGGGAGCAGCCCGGAGUCUGAAUCAGCUUGUGUGUUAGUGGAACGGUCUGGAAAGUCCGACGGUACAGGGUGAUAGUCCCGUACACGAAAGCACACUUGCUGUGAACUCGAAGAGUAGGGCGGGACACGUGGUAUCCUGUCUGAAUAUGGGGGGACCAUCCUCCAAGGCUAAAUACUCCUGACUGACCGAUAGUGAACCAGUACCGUGAGGGAAAGGCGAAAAGAACCCCGGCGAGGGGAGUGAAAAAGAACCUGAAACCGUGUACGUACAAGCAGUGGGAGCCUCUUUAUGGGGUGACUGCGUACCUUUUGUAUAAUGGGUCAGCGACUUAUAUUCUGUAGCAAGGUUAACCGUAUAGGGGAGCCGAAGGGAAACCGAGUCUUAACUGGGCGUUAAGUUGCAGGGUAUAGACCCGAAACCCGGUGAUCUAGCCAUGGGCAGGUUGAAGGUUGGGUAACACUAACUGGAGGACCGAACCGACUAAUGUUGAAAAAUUAGCGGAUGACCUGUGGCUGGGGGUGAAAGGCCAAUCAAACCGGGAGAUAGCUGGUUCUCCCCGAAAGCUAUUUAGGUAGCGCCUCGUGAACUCAUCUUCGGGGGUAGAGCACUGUUUCGGCUAGGGGGCCAUCCCGGCUUACCAACCCGAUGCAAACUACGAAUACCGAAGAAUGUUAUCACGGGAGACACACGGCGGGUGCUAACGUCCGUCGUGAAGAGGGAAACAACCCAGACCGCCAGCUAAGGUCCCAAAGUCAUGGUUAAGUGGGAAACGAUGUGGGAAGGCACAGACAGCCAGGAUGUUGGCUUAGAAGCAGCCAUCAUUUAAAGAAAGCGUAAUAGCUCACUGGUCGAGUCGGCCUGCGCGGAAGAUGUAACGGGGCUAAACCAUGCACCGAAGCUGCGGCAGCGACGCUUAUGCGUUGUUGGGUAGGGGAGCGUUCUGUAAGCCGUUGAAGGUGUGCUGUGAGGCAUGCUGGAGGUAUCAGAAGUGCGAAUGCUGACAUAAGUAACGAUAAAGCGGGUGAAAAGCCCGCUCGCCGGAAGACCAAGGGUUCCUGUCCAACGUUAAUCGGGGCAGGGUGAGUCGACCCCUAAGGCGAGGCCGAAAGGCGUAGUCGAUGGGAAACAGGUUAAUAUUCCUGUACUUGGUGUUACUGCGAAGGGGGGACGGAGAAGGCUAUGUCAGCCGGGCGACGGUUGUCCCGGUUUAAGCAUGUAGGCGGAGGUUCCAGGUAAAUCCGGUACCUUAUUAACGCUGAGGUGUGAUGACGAGGCACUACGGUGCUGAAGUGAUAAAUGCCCUGCUUCCAGGAAAAGCCUCUAAGCAUCAGGUAACACGAAAUCGUACCCCAAACCGACACAGGUGGUCAGGUAGAGAAUACCAAGGCGCUUGAGAGAACUCGGGUGAAGGAACUAGGCAAAAUGGUGCCGUAACUUCGGGAGAAGGCACGCUGAUGUGUAGGUGAAGCCCCUGCGGACGGAGCUGAAAUCAGUCGAAGAUACCAGCUGGCUGCAACUGUUUAUUAAAAACACAGCACUGUGCAAACACGAAAGUGGACGUAUACGGUGUGACGCCUGCCCGGUGCCGGAAGGUUAAUUGAUGGGGUUAGCGGCAACGCGAAGCUCUUGAUCGAAGCCCCGGUAAACGGCGGCCGUAACUAUAACGGUCCUAAGGUAGCGAAAUUCCUUGUCGGGUAAGUUCCGACCUGCACGAAUGGCGUAAUGAUGGCCAGGCUGUCUCCACCCGAGACUCAGUGAAAUUGAACUCGCUGUGAAGAUGCAGUGUACCCGCGGCAAGACGGAAAGACCCCGUGAACCUUUACUAUAGCUUGACACUGAACACUGGUCCUUGAUGUGUAGGAUAGGUGGGAGGCUUUGAAGCGUGGACGCCAGUCUGCGUGGAGCCNGACCCGUAAUCCGGGUUGCGGACAGUGUCUGGUGGGUAGUUUGACUGGGGCGGUCUCCUCCCAAAGAGUAACGGAGGAGCACGAAGGUUGGCUAAUCCUGGUCGGACAUCAGGAGGUUAGUGCAAUGGCAUAAGCCAGCUUGACUGCGAGCGUGACGGCGCGAGCAGGUGCGAAAGCAGGUCAUAGUGAUCCGGUGGUUCUGAAUGGAAGGGCCAUCGCUCAACGGAUAAAAGGUACUCCGGGGAUAACAGGCUGAUACCGCCCAAGAGUUCAUAUCGACGGCGGUGUUUGGCACCUCGAUGUCGGCUCAUCACAUCCUGGGGCUGAAGUAGGUCCCAAGGGUAUGGCUGUUCGCCAUUUAAAGUGGUACGCGAGCUGGGUUUAGAACGUCGUGAGACAGUUCGGUCCCUAUCUGCCGUGGGCGCUGGAGAAUUGAGGGGGGCUGCUCCUAGUACGAGAGGACCGGAGUGGACGCAUCACUGGUGUUCGGGUUGUCAUGCCAAUGGCACUGCCCGGUAGCUAAAUGCGGAAGAGAUAAGUGCUGAAAGCAUCUAAGCACGAAACUUGCCCCGAGAUGAGUUCUCCCUGAGACUUUAAGUCUCCUGAAGGAACGUUGAAGACGACGACGUUGAUAGGUCGGGUGUGUAAGCGCAGCGAUGCGUUGAGCUAACCGAUACUAAUGAACCGUGAGGCUUAACCUU
Molecule: ribosomal RNA, 2863 nt
Filed under: Enterobacter hormaechei
Lineage: Bacteria; Pseudomonadati; Pseudomonadota; Gammaproteobacteria; Enterobacterales; Enterobacteriaceae
Description: 23S ribosomal RNA
Rfam family: Bacterial large subunit ribosomal RNA
Source: RNAcentral